Molecule: ribosomal RNA, 423 nt
Filed under: Triticum aestivum (bread wheat)
Lineage: Eukaryota; Viridiplantae; Streptophyta; Magnoliopsida; Poales; Poaceae
Description: partial small subunit ribosomal RNA
Source: RNAcentral
AUGCCAGAUAUUAUCCACUUCGGCCAGUCCGGAUUCAUUAGAGGAAGAGGCAUUGCGGACAAUUUCCUCCAUGCCGCAGACAUCGUCCAAACUUGCUUUAGGAGGAAAACACCUACUAUCGUCCUUAAACUUGACUUUUACAAAGCCUUUGACUCUGUCUGCUGGGACGCCUUGACAACAAUUUUGCGUGCCAAAGGUUUCCCCGUGCAAUGGGAUGACUGGAUCAGAUCUCUGAAUGACUCUACAAACUUCGCUAUUUUGCUUAACGGACGCCCCGGCCCGUGGUUCCCCUGCCGUUGUGGUCUUAGACAAGGGGACUCCCUCUCCCCCUACCUCUUUCUGAUUGUCGCCGACGUUCUUCAGCGUAUGAUCUUAUGUGCCUCUCAAUCUAGUAUGCUCUCUCACCCUCUAGAAUCUAGAUGA